AAUAAAUACAGUUUUAGCACGGUUCAUGUUCAAUGUUUGACCGUUUGUUUUAUUUGAAAAAAAGAUUAUGAUUAGUAUUUUUAUUGUUAUUAGAUGAUAAAACAUGAAUAGUAUUUUAUGUGUGACUAAUUUUUUUUAAUAUUUUUCAUAAGUUUUUCAAGACGGAUGGUCCAAGCGCUAAACACGGAUAUCUAUAGCUGUACUUAUU
MicroRNA precursor from Oryza sativa Japonica Group (Japanese rice), 208 nucleotides. It matches the Rfam family "MIR812 microRNA precursor family". NCBI's taxonomy places the organism in Eukaryota, Viridiplantae, Streptophyta, Magnoliopsida, Poales, Poaceae. The record is from Rfam.